Molecule: long non-coding RNA, 911 nt
Organism: Nomascus leucogenys (northern white-cheeked gibbon)
Lineage: Eukaryota; Metazoa; Chordata; Mammalia; Primates; Hylobatidae
Exons: 5
Source: RefSeq, a predicted model, not a curated record
UUAUUCUCAGGAAGCCCUGAGCGCUGAGAGACACUGUUACAGAGCCGAACUGGGGUCCACUCGCUAGGCCUACCUAGGUGCCUGGAAUUUCCCUUCAAGGAACUCAGGAGUUUUCUUUAUUUUCAUGCUUGGGGAGGCUCAUUAGGCCCCUAAGAGGGGGCCCCUUCCCCAUCUCGGGACUAAAAUACAAUGAAGAUGUUGCUCAGAGGCAGCUGGAGAGGGAUGGAUCUGUGGAUGACGCCUCGCAGAGUGAAGCCGAGAUGAUGCAGCCACCAGGGCCAGAGGGGAGGGACAUUUCACUUUUUAAAUCAGCUUUCUGAAGUAUAAUGUCCAUAGAAUCACCUAGAAGCAUACAGCGCAAUGAUCUUGACAGAUACCAGCAUCCUUGGAACCACUGCCAACACCGACGUCUCAAACCAUCCCAUCUGCCUGGUGCCCUGAAGCGUCUCCGUUCAAUGGCAGGACCAGCAGAGAUUCAGUGGUCACAAGGCUGGUCUCAAACUCCUGAGUGCAAGCGAUCCUCCCACCUCGGCCUCCCAAAGUGCUGGGAUUACAGGCAUGAGCCACUGUGCCCAGCCAGGAAUGGAUUUUCUCACAGUUCUCGAUGGCAGAAGUCUGACAUCAAGGUGUUGGCAGGGCUGGGUCUCUCUGAGGCCUUUCUCCCCAGCUUACAGGUGGCCGCCUCCUCUCUCUGUCUUUCCUUGUCUUCCUUGUGUCCACAGCUGUGUCCAAAUUCCCCUUUCUCAUAAGGACAUCAGUCAUGUUGAAUUAGGGCCCUCCCUCCUGACCUUGUUUUAGCUUAAUCUCUGUAACUUAACCCUUAACCUCAGUAAAGAUCCUAUCUCCAAAUGUGUUCACAUUCUGAGGUCCUGGGGAUUAGGACUUUGAAGGGGUUAAAACAGGAUCUUCUG